Long non-coding RNA from Hippocampus zosterae (dwarf seahorse), 230 nucleotides. RefSeq lists it as uncharacterized. The transcript is spliced from 2 exons. The record is from RefSeq and is a predicted model, not a curated record. Lineage: Eukaryota; Metazoa; Chordata; Actinopteri; Syngnathiformes; Syngnathidae.
UAUAUAACACUUGGAUGCAGAAAAUCCAGUCGAAAGCCUUGGAAGGGGGAAAAACCAGGGAGCAACUGCAAAAGUCACCUCCUUGCAGAUCCCUCUGGAGAGUAAUCUUAUUGGGCUCAUGGCACACUUUUACUUCCAGCUGAGAGCCGCCACAAUGCCCUAUGGAAUUGUACCACCCGGGCGCCAAAUUCUGUACUACAAGCAGUUGGACAAGCACAAGCCCCCCGCCC